AUAUCUCUCCGUACGGGAAGGAUGAGAAGCUUCGACCAAGGUUCGAUUCGAGCGCAGCGAGAAAGCGUUGCCGCAGGCAACGACCCGAAGGGCGAAGCGCGCAGCGCUGAG
Molecule: small RNA, 111 nt
Filed under: Salmonella enterica
Lineage: Bacteria; Pseudomonadati; Pseudomonadota; Gammaproteobacteria; Enterobacterales; Enterobacteriaceae
Description: partial RtT sRNA
Rfam family: RtT RNA
About the family: This family represents a bacterial cis-regulatory element known as RtT RNA. The exact function of RtT is unknown although it is thought that it may be involved in changing the cellular response in relation to amino acid starvation.
Source: RNAcentral